RNAcentral lists this ribosomal RNA (460 nucleotides) under uncultured bacterium. Its description in RNAcentral is "partial 16S ribosomal RNA". It matches the Rfam family "Bacterial small subunit ribosomal RNA", at positions 338 to 795 of the family's 1533-position model. The record is from RNAcentral.
CCUACGGGUGGCAGCAGUGAGGAAUAUUGGUCAAUGGACGAGAGUCUGAACCAGCCAAGUAGCGUGAAGGAUGACUGCCCUAUGGGUUGUAAACUUCUUUUAUAUGGGAAUAAAAUGUUCCACGUGUGGGAUUUUGUAUGUACCAUAUGAAUAAGGAUCGGCUAACUCCGUGCCAGCAGCCGCGGUAAUACGGAGGAUCCGAGCGUUAUCCGGAUUUAUUGGGUUUAAAGGGAGCGUAGGUGGAUUGUUAAGUCAGUUGUGAAAGUUUGCGGCUCAACCGUAAAAUUGCAGUUGAAACUGGCAGUCUUGAGUACAGUAGAGGUGGGCGGAAUUCGUGGUGUAGCGGUGAAAUGCUUAGAUAUCACGAAGAACUCCGAUUGCGAAGGCAGUUCACUGGACUGCAACUGACACUGAGGCUCGAAAGUGUGGGUAUCAAACGGGAUUAGAUACCCGAGUAGUC